GACGUAGGGCGCGAGCGUUGUCCGGAUUUAUUGGGUGUAAAGAGCUCGUAGGCGGCUUGUUGCGUCAGCUGUGAAAACCCGCAGCUCAACUGUGGGCUUGCAGCUGAUACGGGCAGGCUUGAGUUCGGUAGGGGAGACUGGAAUUCCUGGUGUAGCGGUGAAAUGCGCAGAUAUCAGGAGGAACACCGGUGGCGAAGGCGGCAUCCUGGACCAAUACUGACACUGAGGAGCGAAAGCCAGGGGAGCAAACGGG
This 253-nucleotide ribosomal RNA is filed under the name uncultured bacterium. Its description in RNAcentral is "partial 16S ribosomal RNA". It matches the Rfam family "Bacterial small subunit ribosomal RNA", at positions 524 to 776 of the family's 1533-position model. The record is from RNAcentral.